RNAcentral lists this ribosomal RNA (111 nucleotides) under Microtus ochrogaster (prairie vole). The record is from RNAcentral. Lineage: Eukaryota; Metazoa; Chordata; Mammalia; Rodentia; Cricetidae.
GUCUACGGCCAUACCACCCUGAAUGCGCCCGAUCUCAUCUGAUCUCAGAAGCUAAGCAGUGUCGGGCCUGGUUGGAUGGGAGAGCACCUGGGUAUACCGGGUGUGUAGGCU